RNAcentral lists this ribosomal RNA (540 nucleotides) under uncultured bacterium. RNAcentral describes it as "bacterial SSU rRNA". It matches the Rfam family "Bacterial small subunit ribosomal RNA", at positions 39 to 628 of the family's 1533-position model. The record is from RNAcentral.
GCGGCUGCUUACACAUGCAGUCGAACGAGACCUUCGGGUCUAGUGGCGCACGGGUGCGUAACGCGUGGGAAUCUGCCCUUAGGUACGGAAUAACUCAGAGUAAUUUGUGCUAAUACCGUAUGAUGUCGAAAGACCAAAGAUUUAUCGCCUAGGGAUGAGCCCGCGUAAGAUUAGCUUGUUGGUGAGGUAAAAGCUCACCAAGGCGACGAUCUUUAGCUGGUCUGAGAGGAUGAUCAGCCACACUGGGACUGAGACACGGCCCAGACUCCUACGGGAGGCAGCAGUGGGGAAUAUUGGACAAUGGGCGAAAGCCUGAUCCAGCAAUGCCGCGUGAGUGAUGAAGGCCUUAUGGUUGUAAAGCUCUUUUACUAGGGUUGAUAAUGACAGUACCUGGAGAAUAAGCUCCGGCUAACUCCGUGCCAGCAGCCGCGGUAAUACGGAGGGAGCUAGCGUUGUUCGGAAUUACUGGGCGUAAAGAGUACGUAUGCGGAGAAUCAAGUCAUAGGCGAAAGCCUGUAGCUUUACUCCAUAACUGCGCUU